RNAcentral lists this ribosomal RNA (406 nucleotides) under uncultured bacterium. RNAcentral describes it as "partial 16S ribosomal RNA". It matches the Rfam family "Bacterial small subunit ribosomal RNA", at positions 29 to 526 of the family's 1533-position model. The record is from RNAcentral.
AUUGAACGCUGGCGGCAGGCUUAACACAUGCAAGUCGAGCGAGCGGCGGACGGGUGAGUAAUGUCUGGGAAACUGCCUGAUGUAGGGGGAUAACUACUGGAAACGGUAGCUAAUACCGCAUACCAUCAGAUGUGCCCAGAUGGGAUUAGCUAGUAGGUGGGGUAAUGGCUAACCAAGGCGACGAUCCCUAGCGGGUCUGAGAGGAUGACCAGCCAAAAGGGAACGGAGAAACGGUCAAGAAGCCUACGGGAGGCAGAAGUGGGGAAUAUUGCACAAUGGGCGCAAGCCUGAUGCAGCAAUGCCGCGUGUGUGAAGAAGGCCUUCGGGUUGUAAAGCACUUGCAGCGAGGAGGCGUUACUCGCAGAAGAAGCACCGGCUAACUCCGUGCCAGCAGCCGCGGUAAUAC